Molecule: ribosomal RNA, 706 nt
Filed under: Klebsiella pneumoniae
Lineage: Bacteria; Pseudomonadati; Pseudomonadota; Gammaproteobacteria; Enterobacterales; Enterobacteriaceae
Description: bacterial SSU rRNA
Rfam family: Bacterial small subunit ribosomal RNA
Source: RNAcentral
ACUUAAAUUGAAGAGUUUGAUCAUGGCUCAGAUUGAACGCUGGCGGCAGGCCUAACACAUGCAAGUCGAGCGGUAGCACAGAGAGCUUGCUCUCGGGUGACGAGCGGCGGACGGGUGAGUAAUGUCUGGGAAACUGCCUGAUGGAGGGGGAUAACUACUGGAAACGGUAGCUAAUACCGCAUAACGUCGCAAGACCAAAGUGGGGGACCUUCGGGCCUCAUGCCAUCAGAUGUGCCCAGAUGGGAUUAGCUAGUAGGUGGGGUAACGGCUCACCUAGGCGACGAUCCCUAGCUGGUCUGAGAGGAUGACCAGCCACACUGGAACUGAGACACGGUCCAGACUCCUACNGGGAGGCAGCAGUGGGGAAUAUUGCACAAUGGGCGCAAGCCUGAUGCAGCCAUGCCGCGUGUGUGAAGAAGGCCUUCGGGUUGUAAAGCACUUUCAGCGGGGAGGAAGGCGGUGAGGUUAAUAACCUCAUCGAUUGACGUUACCCGCAGAAGAAGCACCGGCUAACUCCGUGCCAGCAGCCGCGGUAAUACGGAGGGUGCAAGCGUUAAUCGGAAUUACUGGGCGUAAAGCGCACGCAGGCGGUCUGUCAAGUCGGAUGUGAAAUCCCCGGGCUCAACCUGGGAACUGCAUUCGAAACUGGCAGGCUAGAGUCUUGUAGAGGGGGGUAGAAUUCCAGGUGUAGCGGUGAAAUGCGUAG